Molecule: long non-coding RNA, 651 nt
Organism: Acromyrmex echinatior (Panamanian leafcutter ant)
Lineage: Eukaryota; Metazoa; Arthropoda; Insecta; Hymenoptera; Formicidae
Source: RefSeq, a predicted model, not a curated record
CCAGGGACUACGGAAUUGGGUUAAUUAAAUUGCUAAAAUCGAAACGUCUCAAAAUUGAUUGAUACUCGCGUUGCAAUCGUGAUUCGCUUGAUCAGAUCUUGAAAUAAGAAGAAAAAUAAGAUUGUCUACAUGGUGUAACUGAUGGACGUUUUUGAAGAUUGAAAAUUGAAGGUUUUAAUAUUUGAAUCUUAUUUUUCGCAACGAACAAUGAUUAUCUGUUGCAAGGUUUAACGUCGCCGAAAAAAAUUCAUUGUUAUUACAUUAUAUUUUAAAAAUUUCCACGUACGCAAAUGCAAUCCUGGCGGACGAUCAACGUGUACAAAUACAGAAAAUAUAACAUCGGCGUGGGCGGACGACAUUUCUCAAACUUAUAAAAAUGCACUGGAUCACGACACACGUAAACACAUUUGGCAGUAGUGUAAACGCACGCCGGCGCUUGUCUGAAAUUGAAAUCCAUUGGCGAGUCUUCAACAUACCGGAACAUCUAUCAUGUGAACAUAUGAUCGCACAUCAUCGCAAUUAUUGUAUCAUAACGACGACGAAUCAUCAAUUCGAAGUGGGACAAAGCCACGAGUAUUAAUGGAAUUUCCCCGAAAAUUGGCUACUGCUCGGCAAUGUCGAGUCUACCAAAAGCAACGUGAGUCCGUCCCC